AUGCAGGACAAAAGGGAGGAACUAAGGCAGGGAAACACAAUUGAUGCAUCCAAGCUUUCUACACAAAACACAUUCUUCACAGAUGCAGCAUGGAAUCUACAGGGGAGCCAAAACGAAAAUGAAGGAGCACAAGCAGGAAUAGGUGUCUACAUUCAACUUAAGCAAGGUUACUCAAAACUUCAAGCAUCAAUUUCAGCCACAGGGAUGACAGCUAAUUCAGCUGUUCAAGCGGAAGCACUGGGUCUAAAGUUGGCAGCAAAUCUUUUGGAAUCUCUGCACAUUCAGGAAGCUGCGGUGCUAACAGACAACCUCACCGUGGCAAAAGCUGCAGCAGCAAGAUCGCCAAGGAAGGAACCAGGGAAUUGGCAGAUAAGAAGCUAUAUAGCAGACUUUUGUGCAAUGACAGAGUUCAAGAACAUUCAGGUCUACCAUGUUAACAGAGAUCAAAACAGCAUAGCGCAUGAAGCUGCAAGGUUAGCAAUCACACAGGAUCAUGUAGCUUCUCCUAUCCAUAGGUUUAGUUGCACUAAUCCUGUUCAUACUAGAGGGCAUUGUCCCCUGCUUCAGAGAUUAAUGCACACUCAAAUGCAGGGAUUUGUACUUUUACGUGUAAAUUGUUUCUCAGAUUAA
RNAcentral lists this ribosomal RNA (630 nucleotides) under Triticum aestivum (bread wheat). RNAcentral's name for it is "partial small subunit ribosomal RNA". The record is from RNAcentral. Lineage: Eukaryota; Viridiplantae; Streptophyta; Magnoliopsida; Poales; Poaceae.